Molecule: ribosomal RNA, 935 nt
Filed under: Triticum aestivum (bread wheat)
Lineage: Eukaryota; Viridiplantae; Streptophyta; Magnoliopsida; Poales; Poaceae
Description: partial small subunit ribosomal RNA
Source: RNAcentral
CGAGCAGGGUGGAGGAGGAGAAGGAGAGAGCUAGAGGAGACGGAGCGUGCGGCGGUGGCGAGCGGGAGCGCGGCGGCGGAGGCAAGCGGGAGGAGACGGAGCGUGUGGCGGUGGCGAGCGGGAGCGCGGCGGCGGCAGAGGCAACGGGUUGGACGACCUAGGGGUGGUAGGUGAAGAGGCCGCAGCAGCGGAGCAGUAGCGCACGUGCGCCGUCCUCCUCGCUCCCUCUGCACCUCGGCGGCGAUCCUUGCGGUGGCAGCAGGAGCGCACGUGUGCCGUCCUCCUCGCCCCCUCCGCACCUCGGCGACGACCCUUGCGGCCUACGCUAAUAGACGUCCAGCCAGUCGGGACGGUCGGAGUACAUGGAUCGUGCUCUACUUUCUCCCUAAAUCUCUUCCCUCCCUCGUCCUCCUCUUCUCCUUCUUCUUGGGAUGGUGGGGGUACGGGCGGGUCACGAAGCACGCCGAGACGUGGGGUUGGUAAGGUGGAGGUACGGGGAGGUUAAAGAGAUAGGGAAAAAACGUCUUAUCCCUAACUCUUAACCAGUUAUAUGACUUGCCUAUGUAAGUGACCUUUCCUCCCCGACGACUACAACACCCGAACUAACGGAAAAUUAACAACUAGGGUUUUAGGACGGGGCUGUGCUCGGUGGCGGCAAGCAGGCCUCUUCGCGCCCUUCUUCUUCUACCUACACAACUCUGGAACUACCCUACCUCUCUGCAAAGGAAAGUUUUUAAUGGCGAUCUUUAUCAUCUCUCUUUCGAGUUCGUGCCUUUGCUCGUCAAUUAAGAUAAACGGUCCCAAGACGACGACUAUAAUAGUUCCACCGAUACGAAUUGUCAGUAAGACAUUAAUGGUUACCCUCAUUGUGUGAACUAAGAUACCUACCCGAUUGCGUCUUGAAAAUUGUUUAGUCUCCCGCAACAGUGGAAAAC